GACGAACGCUGGCGGCGUGCCUAAUACAUGCAAGUAGAACGCUGAAGGAAGGAGCUUGCUCUUUCCGGAUGAGUUGCGAACGGGUGAGUAACGCGUAGGUAACCUGCCUGGUAGCGGGGGAUAACUAUUGGAAACGAUAGCUAAUACCGCAUAAGAGUAGAUGUCGCAUGACAUUUGCUUAAAAGGUGCAAUUGCAUCACUACCAGAUGGACCUGCGUUGUAUUAGCUAGUUGGUGGGGUAACGGCUCACCAAGGCGACGAUACAUAGCCGACCUGAGAGGGUGAUCGGCCACACUGGGACUGAGACACGGCCCAGACUCCUACGGGAGGCAGCAGUAGGGAAUCUUCGGCAAUGGACGGAAGUCUGACCGAGCAACGCCGCGUGAGUGAAGAAGGUUUUCGGAUCGUAAAGCUCUGUUGUAAGAG
This 426-nucleotide ribosomal RNA is filed under the name Streptococcus mitis. RNAcentral's name for it is "bacterial SSU rRNA". It matches the Rfam family "Bacterial small subunit ribosomal RNA", at positions 28 to 444 of the family's 1533-position model. Lineage: Bacteria; Bacillati; Bacillota; Bacilli; Lactobacillales; Streptococcaceae. The record is from RNAcentral.